RNAcentral lists this ribosomal RNA (1818 nucleotides) under Aurelia aurita (moon jelly). RNAcentral's name for it is "16S ribosomal RNA". The stretch from base 231 to 1723 matches the Rfam family "Bacterial large subunit ribosomal RNA". The record is from RNAcentral. Lineage: Eukaryota; Metazoa; Cnidaria; Scyphozoa; Semaeostomeae; Ulmaridae.
CAGGAAGAACCAACCACCUAAGCUGCUUCUUAUUCCACUUUAACAAAGAAAUUAUUGUUAACAAUUAUAACAAUAUGAAUGGAUAUAAAGACAUAUUACAAAAUUAGAAGAAACAUCUUUAACAAACUAAUAAAGAUACUAAAGUAUUGGCGAAAGAAAUAGUAAACACCACAAAAAUUUUAUUAGGUAUAUGAAUAUCUAGGUAGUAAAGAAGCUGACUUAUAAAUAUAGUACUGUGAAGGAAAGAAAACAUAUAUGUAACCUACUUCUUCCUGUUUUCUGUUGUUAAACAACGUACCUUUUGUAUAAUGGGCUUGCUAGAAUCAAUUUGGUUAGCUUAUUAACGCCAUAUUCAUGAUAAAAUCAAAUGUUCCCGAAACUAGGUGAUCAAUUCUGAAGUAGCCAAUAGGGCCAACCAUUUACUGUUUCAAAAGUUUUGGAAAACUUCAGAAUAGGAGUGAAAUACUAAUCGAACCUAGAAAUAGCUGGUUUUCUACAAAACCCUUAUUAGAGGGAUGAUGCUAUAUUAACUAUUUUGUAAAAUUAAAAUAAAUACUAAUAUCAACAUUUUCACAGACCAAUAAUGAUAAGAUUGUUGGUCAAGAGAGAAACAACUCGGAUUAUAAGCCAAGGACAUAAAUUAAUUAAAUGUAUACACAAUAGAAAGUAAAAAUAGAGGACAAGUGGGCUUGGAAGCAGCCAUCUUAUUGACAACGCGUAACAGCGGCUCCUAAAAACAUAUCUAUUAUAAAUUAUGGUGGCUAAAGAAUUCCAAAGCUCUAAAAAACAGGUAGUAGAACAGACUAUUGAUUCGCAAUAGUGGAGAUAAUGCAAGCAUGAAUACCCAUCUAUUCUUUAGGUUUAAAUGAAACAACCCUUAAAAAACUAUAGGUUUGUUAACUAGGAACCAAUAAUCCAAGAAGCAAGUUAAGAAUAUUAAUUGUACCAUCUAACCAAAGGAAGCAAAACAACUUGAUCAAUUUCUUCAAAGGAACUCGGCAAAGCUGGACUCAAACCAUCUAUAGGAUCGACUGUUUACCAAAAACAUAGCCCUACGACACUCUUGUAAGGUGAAGCCUGCCCAAUGACUGCCAAUAAUCUAAUAAAAAUCAGUUCAAUGGCCGCGGUAACUCUGACCGUGAUAAAGUAGCAUAAUCACUUGUCACUUAAUUGGUGACUGGAAUGAAUGGCUAAACGAAUCCUCCUCUGUCUCUGAAGAAAUCCUGGCAAAUUUGAAAUAGCAGUGAAGAUGCUGCUAAAUAAUUGUAAGACGAAAAGACCCUAUCGAGCUUUACUGGAAUCUUGCAAAGUAACAUAGUUAUUAAAGACAAAAUUAUACAAAUUGCAAGCCCGACAGUUUGGUUGGGGCGACCACCCCUAAAAACGUAUCAGGGGAACUCUAAGGGCUGUCAUAAUAUGAAAAACCGCCUUACUGGAGACAAACAAGUCAAUCAGUUAUAAUUUAUAGGACAUAUUGACCCGUUAUUUAGCUUCACAACAAAUAACGACUAUGAAAAAAGUUACCGUAGGGAUAACAGGGUAAUAUUUUCAGAGAGUUCAUAUCGAUGAAAAUGUUUGCCACCUCGAUGUUGAAUUAUGAUAUCCUGAGGGUGCAGCAGCUCUCAAGGGUUGGUCUGUUCGACCAUUAAAAUCAUACACGAUUUGAGUUCAUUCCGCCGUAAGACAGGAAGGUUUCUAUCUACAAUUAAAGAACUCAGUACAAACUCUAGUACGAAAGGAAUGAGUAAUGUCGUUUCGAAAAUGAAGUAAUCAAUCUGAUUUAAUAUAAGUUUUUAAACUAUAGUUCAACAAUUAUAU